GAGAGAAGAGAACGCAGAGGGUGGGAGGCAGGGAGGGAGACCAAACCCCCGCUUCACUGCGUUGAACGCUUCUGAAUUUCAAGCAGAAAGUAGAAGGAGCCCCACUCGGCAAUGAGCGUCUUUCCUUGGGCUGCGUGUGCAGAGCGUAGACAAUGAAAAUCUCCAUCCCCCUCCCCCAUCCCCGCUAGGCUACAAGAUUUUUAUUGUCGUUCCUUCUCAGCGGUGGAAGAUGUGCAAUAUCAAACCUAUAGAGAUGUGUACAUUUUUUUUUUUAACAAACAAAUCAAACGGGCUGAGACGCGGAUUACCCAAACGCGCACCGGCUGGGCGCGUGCUGGGGAAUCUGCGCUGGACUGGCUCUCCGCGCUCUCUCCAGCCGCAGCUGGGAUCUACGCCGCCCAGGGACCGUGGUGGCUGAGGAGCCUUCCUUCCUCGGACGCCGGAGCCAGAGCGGGCCUUUCCCUUGGGCCGACCGAGCCGUAGGGGACGCCGCGAAAAGAGCCGCUGCGCCGCCAGCUCCUGCCCGCUGCUCAGAGGGCUCCGCCCGUAGAGGUCAACUCCCCUCACCCCUUCCUCUCUCCUGCUCGCCCUCCCUCCGCCCGGCCCAGGUUCCUCCAGCCUCCUGACUCUUGCCGCAGUCUGAGGAGAGCGCGUCGGCUGCGCUGUUCUGAGCCAUAACCCCCAGCCGGGCCCAGAUCGGAGGUCUGCGCUCCGCGGCAGUGGGGAAGCCUUAGCGGGCUGGCUUUUCUCUCUGCACCAAAGCUGUAGCCAGACCAGAUGGGCCGCCCAGCUCUCUCGGGACUAGGCAGGUGCGGUUGAGUUAAUUUUUCCGCAUUACAAAGAAAGACGACCCAGCCCGCCCUUGGACUCUCAUCUCUUCCCCAAAUCUCCCAACCGAAACCGCGGUAACGUUAUCACAGGACACAGAGACUAGGCAUAUCUGCGUGUUUAUCUUACACACACGCGCGCAUGGUUAUUUUUUCCGUCUAUGUGCUAGAUCUCAUUCCCGACAGCAAGAAAUGAUUGACAAAGCUUUCUGCAGCAGAACGUGCAAUGGCGCGGUCCUUAAAAUCUGCCAUUCCUUACAAGUGACUUAGAAGAGAUGCAGGGCGGACCAACUCGGUUAAUUGCCUUCAGGAAAAUAACACGAUUACGAAAUUAGAUCUGUACCAGAGGGGUAAUUAACUUUGAUCCACGCCGUCAUUUGAAAACUAGAUUUAUAGGCGAAUGUAUGUUUUUAGGUGUGCUGUAAAUGGCAUGCAGAUAUAUGCAUAUGUAUACGCAGACACAUGCAUCGUCUACACUUCCACCGAACAGACUAAUUAGCAGCGGCUCUGGCAGCUGUGGCAGGAGGCGAGCUGAGACAGGAGCUGGGCUUAUGAGUUAUGACUCUGGGGGAGUCCUAGGGACUCAGAGCCCAGGGGAGGGGGAAGGGCAGGAGGAGAAGAGGUGCAUUCGCAGUGGGUCAGUUACUUGCCGGAUCAAGAUCAGACUCUGCCCUCCGUGUUCACAGCGGACCUUGAUUUAAUGUCAUACAAUUAAGGCACGCGGUGAAUGCCAAGAGCGGAGCCUAUGGCUGCACUUGAAGGACACCAGAGCGUCUCAGGACGAGAAAAAGGAAAAGGCAAUCACAAGGGGUUUUGAGAGGUAGUAGAACAAACUCAUCGUUUGCCGCAUAAAGACCCUCAAACUGAUUCCAGAACCAUCCUAGCAUUCCCAAA
Molecule: long non-coding RNA, 1721 nt
Organism: Lontra canadensis (Northern American river otter)
Lineage: Eukaryota; Metazoa; Chordata; Mammalia; Carnivora; Mustelidae
Exons: 2
Source: RefSeq, a predicted model, not a curated record